GACGAACGCUGGCGGCGUGCUUAACACAUGCAAGUCGAACGGAAAGGCCCUGCUUUUGUGGGGUGCUCGAGUGGCGAACGGGUGAGUAACACGUGAGUAACCUGCCCUUGACUUUGGGAUAACUUCAGGAAACUGGGGCUAAUACCGGAUAGGAGCUCCUGCUGCAUGGUGGGGGUUGGAAAGUUUCGGCGGUUGGGGAUGGACUCGCGGCUUAUCAGCUUGUUGGUGGGGUAGUGGCUUACCAAGGCUUUGACGGGUAGCCGGCCUGAGAGGGUGACCGGCCACAUUGGGACUGAGAUACGGCCCAGACUCCUACGGGAGGCAGCAGUGGGGAAUAUUGCACAAUGGGCGGAAGCCUGAUGCAGCAACGCCGCGUGCGGGAUGACGGCCUUCGGGUUGUAAACCGCUUUCGCCUGUGACGAAGCGUGAGUGACGGUAAUGGGUAAAGAAGCACCGGCUAACUACGUGCCAGCAGCCGCGGUGAUACGUAGGGUGCGAGCGUUGUCCGGAUUUAUUGGGCGUAAAGGGCUCGUAGGUGGUUGAUCGCGUCGGAAGUGUAAUCUUGGGGCUUAACCCUGAGCGUGCUUUCGAUACGGGUUGACUUGAGGAAGGUAGGGGAGAAUGGAAUUCCUGGUGGAGCGGUGGAAUGCGCAGAUAUCAGGAGGAACACCAGUGGCGAAGGCGGUUCUCUGGGCCUUUCCUGACGCUGAGGAGCGAAAGCGUGGGGAGCGAACAGGCUUAGAUACCCUGGUAGUCCACGCUGUAAACGGUGGGUACUAGGUGUGGGGUCCAUUCCACGGGUUCCGUGCCGUAGCUAACGCUUUAAGUACCCCGCCUGGGGAGUACGGCCGCAAGGCUAAAACUCAAAGGAAUUGACGGGACCCCGCACAAGCGGCGGAGCAUGCGGAUUAAUUCGAUGCAACGCGUGGAACCUUACCUGGGUUUGACAUGGAUCGGGAGCGCUCAGAGAUGGGUGUGCCUCUUUUGGGGUCGGUUCACAGGUGGUGCAUGGCUGUCGUCAGCUCGUGUCGUGAGAUGUUGGGUUAGGUCCCGCAACGAGCGCAACCCUUGUUCACUGUUGCCAGCACGUUAUGGUGGGGACUCAGUGGAGACCGCCGGGGUCAACUCGGAGGAAGGUGGGGAUGACGUCAAGUCAUCAUGCCCCUUAUGUCCAGGGCUUCACGCAUGCUACAAUGGCUGGUACAGAGAGUGGCGAGCCUGUGAGGGUGAGCGAAUCUCGGAAAGCCGGUCUCAGUUCGGAUCGGGGUCUGCAACUCGACCUCAUGAAGUCGGAGUCGCUAGUAAUCGCAGAUCAGCAACGCUGCGGUGAAUACGUUCCCGGG
RNAcentral lists this ribosomal RNA (1343 nucleotides) under uncultured bacterium. RNAcentral's name for it is "16S ribosomal RNA". It matches the Rfam family "Bacterial small subunit ribosomal RNA", at positions 28 to 1378 of the family's 1533-position model. The record is from RNAcentral.